This is a long non-coding RNA of Salvia splendens (bonfire salvia), 154 nucleotides long. RefSeq lists it as uncharacterized. The record is from RefSeq and is a predicted model, not a curated record. The transcript has 3 exons. Lineage: Eukaryota; Viridiplantae; Streptophyta; Magnoliopsida; Lamiales; Lamiaceae.
AGCCAAAAUCAACACACAGCAGGAACGUCGUCGCUCGACGAGUAAUCUCAGGACAAGGAAAACACCCGUUUUGCAAGAGUUUAAGCAAUUGAGGUUGAUUGUUGUCGAAGCCGAGGAGGUGUUGGGACAGAAGACCAAAUAAGUAGGAAGGUAG